UACGUAGGGUGCAAGCGUUGUCCGGAAUUAUUGGGCGUAAAGAGCUCGUAGGCGGCUCGGUAAGUCGGGUGUGAAAACUCGGGGCUCAACCCCGAGACGCCACUCGAUACUGCCAUGGCUAGAGUCCGGUAGGGGAGCGUGGAAUUCCUGGUGUAGCGGUGAAAUGCGCAGAUAUCAGGAGGAACACCGGUGGCGAAGGCGGCGCUCUGGGCCGGAACUGACGCUGAGGAGCGAAAGCGUGGGGAGCAAACAGG
RNAcentral lists this ribosomal RNA (254 nucleotides) under uncultured bacterium. RNAcentral describes it as "partial 16S ribosomal RNA". It matches the Rfam family "Bacterial small subunit ribosomal RNA", at positions 524 to 776 of the family's 1533-position model. The record is from RNAcentral.